Molecule: ribosomal RNA, 509 nt
Filed under: uncultured bacterium
Lineage: Bacteria
Description: bacterial SSU rRNA
Rfam family: Bacterial small subunit ribosomal RNA
Source: RNAcentral
GACCCUUCUUCGGAACACGAAAACAGGUGCUGCAUGGUUGUCGUCAGCUCGUGUCGUGAGAUGUUAGGUUAAGUCCUGCAACGAGCGCAACCCUCAUAUACAGUUGCCAAUAUUCAGUUAGGAACUCUGUAUAGACUGCCGUGGUUAACACGGAGGAAGGUGGGGAUGACGUCAAAUCAUCACGGCCCUUACGGCCUGGGCUACACACGUGCUACAAUGGCUAUUACAAAGAGUUGCAAUACAGUAAUGUGGAGCGAAUCUCAAAAAGAUAGUCUCAGUUCGGAUUGUGGGCUGCAACCCGCCCACAUGAAGUCGGAGUUGCUAGUAAUCCCGAAUCAGCAUGUCGGGGUGAAUGCGUUCCCGGGUCUUGUACACACCGCCCGUCACGCCAUGGGAGUUGGGAGUGCCCAAAGUCGGUGACCUAACCGCAAGGAAGGAGCCGCCUAAGGUAAUACCAAUGACUGGGGUGAAGUCGUAACAAGGUAGCCGUAUCGGAAGGUGCGGCUGGA